UGCGCGACGGCGUGCGCAGGGGACUUAAAAUCCUCCGGGGCAACCCGUGCGGGUUCGAAUCCCGCCCUGGGCACCA
This 76-nucleotide transfer RNA is filed under the name Fimbriimonadales bacterium. Its description in RNAcentral is "tRNA-Leu". It matches the Rfam family "tRNA", at positions 9 to 71 of the family's 71-position model. Rfam says of the family: Transfer RNA (tRNA) molecules are approximately 80 nucleotides in length. Their secondary structure includes four short double-helical elements and three loops (D, anti-codon, and T loops). Lineage: Bacteria; Bacillati; Armatimonadota; Fimbriimonadia; Fimbriimonadales. The record is from RNAcentral.